Molecule: ribosomal RNA, 435 nt
Filed under: uncultured bacterium
Lineage: Bacteria
Description: partial 16S ribosomal RNA
Rfam family: Bacterial small subunit ribosomal RNA
Source: RNAcentral
AGCGAACGCUGGCGGCAGGCUUAACACAUGCAAGUCGAGCGGGCACUUUCGGGUGUCAGCGGCGGACGGGUGAGUAACGCGUGGGAACGUGCCCUCUGGUUCGGAAUAACUCAGGGAAACUUGAGCUAAUACCGGAUACGCCCUUUUGGGGAAAGGCUUGCUGCCGGAGGAUCGGCCCGCGUCUGAUUAGCUAGUUGGUGAGGUAACGGCUCACCAAGGCGACGAUCAGUAGCUGGUCUGAGAGGAUGAUCAGCCACACUGGGACUGAGACACGGCCCAGACUCCUACGGGAGGCAGCAGUGGUGAAUAUUGGACAAUGGGCGCAAGCCUGAUCCAGCCAUGCCGCGUGAGUGAUGAAGGCCUUAGGGUUGUAAAGCUCUUUUAUCCGGGACGAUAAUGACGGUACCGGAGGAAUAAGCCCCGGCUAACUUCGUG